GCAAGUCGAGCGAGAAAGCACUUCGGUGCGAGUACAGCGGCGGACGGGUGAGUAACGCGUGGGAAUAUGCCCUUCUCUAAGGAAUAGCCUCUGGAAACGGAGAGUAAUACCUUAUACGCCCUUUGGGGGAAAGACUUAUCGGAGAAGGAUUAGCCCGCGUUAGAUUAGGUAGUUGGUGGGGUAAUGGCCUACCAAGCCUACGAUCUAUAGCUGGUUUGAGAGGAUGAGC
This 229-nucleotide ribosomal RNA is filed under the name uncultured bacterium. RNAcentral describes it as "partial 16S ribosomal RNA". It matches the Rfam family "Bacterial small subunit ribosomal RNA", at positions 57 to 305 of the family's 1533-position model. The record is from RNAcentral.